Molecule: ribosomal RNA, 460 nt
Filed under: uncultured bacterium
Lineage: Bacteria
Description: partial 16S ribosomal RNA
Rfam family: Bacterial small subunit ribosomal RNA
Source: RNAcentral
CCUACGGGUGGCAGCAGUGAGGAAUAUUGGUCAAUGGACGAGAGUCUGAACCAGCCAAGCCGCGUGAAGGAUGACUGCCCUAUGGGUUGUAAACUUCUUUUAUAAGGGAAUAAAUUAGGGCACGCAUACCCUUUUGUAUGUACCUUAUGAAUAAGGAUCGGCUAACUCCGUGCCAGCAGCCGCGGUAAUACGGAGGAUCCGAGCGUUAUCCGGAUUUAUUGGGUUUAAAGGGAGCGUAGGUGGGUUGUUAAGUCAGUUGUGAAAGUUUGCGGCUCAACCGUAAAAUUGCAUUUGAUACUGGCAGUCUUGAGUACAGGAGAGGUAGGCGGAAUUCGUGGUGUAGCGGUGAAAUGCUUAGAUAUCACGAAGAACUCCGAUUGCGAAGGCAGCUGACUGGACUGCAACUGACACUGAUGCUCGAAAGUGUGGGUAUCAAACAGGAUUAGAUACCCGAGUAGUC